CCCUUAGAUGUUCUGGGCCGCACACGCGCUACACUGAAGGAGGCAGCGUGUACUCCUGGAUCGAAAGAUUUGGGUAACCCGCGAAUCUCCUUCGUGCUAGGGAUUGAGGUUUGCAAUUAUCCUUCAUGAACGAGGAAUUCCCAGUAAGUGCAAGUCAUAAGCUUGCGCUGACUACGUCCCUGCCCUUUGUACACACCGCCCGUCGCUACUACCGAUUGAGUGAUCCGGUGAAUAAUUCGGACUGCAGCUUUGAACAGUCCCUGUUCUCGGCUUGCGGAAAGUUUAGUGAACCUUAUCACUUAGAGGAAGGAGAAGUCGUANCA
RNAcentral lists this ribosomal RNA (323 nucleotides) under uncultured eukaryote. RNAcentral's name for it is "partial 18S ribosomal RNA". It matches the Rfam family "Eukaryotic small subunit ribosomal RNA", at positions 1470 to 1796 of the family's 1831-position model. The record is from RNAcentral.